UAUAAUGUUUUGACUCUUCGUCUUAUUUGAAACUUUUUUGUAAUUAAUAUUUUUAUUCUUACUAGAUGAUAAAGCAUAAAUAGUAAUUUAUACGUGACUAUUUUUUAAGUUUUUUUACAAAUUUUUCAAAUAAGACGAAUGAUCAAAUGUUGGACAUAAAAAAAC
RNAcentral lists this microRNA precursor (165 nucleotides) under Oryza brachyantha (malo sina). RNAcentral's name for it is "MIR812 microRNA precursor family". It matches the Rfam family "MIR812 microRNA precursor family", at positions 27 to 190 of the family's 205-position model. Lineage: Eukaryota; Viridiplantae; Streptophyta; Magnoliopsida; Poales; Poaceae. The record is from Rfam by way of RNAcentral.